CACAGAUAAGAGGCAGCACCUCUAUUCACUGGCAAUGUCACUUUCUCCCAUUUGAGGAGAGACAUUUGUUCAAGACACUUUUUUUCUCCUCUCACUGACAAUACGUAAGGCAGAAAGUUGGUGUCUACGUUGCUGCAUGGCUGCAGAAUAGAUUGUUUCGAGAAGGUGAACUCUGGAAAGAACUGAGUGGAAAUAAGACAUAUAGGAGACCAACAAAAGGGAUCAAGAUGUCAGAUUUGAUAAGCAAUUGAUAAAGAGAUUUAGAAGUGUGGCUUUAGACCUGUGGCUCAAAUAGUGGUUUGAAAGCAGAAUCAAGGAUUAAUCAAAGUGACUUCAUCAUCUCCGUAUCAGAGACCGUUUAUAAUACUGUCCAAAGUGCUGAAUGCUUGUUAUAUGGAGGCAGAUAAUUUGAUGGAGCUACAUCUAACUUGACGUAGAGACCACAGUGUGUCACCAGAGAUUCUGGCCUCCUGAGCUGGAUGCAGAAACUGAGAGAACUUGGAGUUGACUCCCAUGGGGAGUGGGUACCUCCUCAGGAAACUCUGAAAAAGAAGAAGUAGAAAUAGUAUGAGACAAGAAACAGUCAUAUUCCAAAGAAUGAAAUACUGUUACAAAUGAUGGAUCCAGAAAAUCUUAUCUGGCAACUUGCUGUUAUUUUCAGUAAGCCUGAUGAUGAAGAAGAAAGGAAAGAA
Molecule: long non-coding RNA, 692 nt
Filed under: Homo sapiens (human)
Lineage: Eukaryota; Metazoa; Chordata; Mammalia; Primates; Hominidae
Description: HSALNT0373829
Source: RNAcentral